Molecule: long non-coding RNA, 733 nt
Filed under: Helianthus annuus (common sunflower)
Lineage: Eukaryota; Viridiplantae; Streptophyta; Magnoliopsida; Asterales; Asteraceae
Description: hypothetical non coding rna
Source: RNAcentral
GUGGAAGCUAGGAUUAGAAAGAGUGAUUUAAUAAAUAAAUAAAUAAAUAAGGAAUGUAUUGGAUUUUUGUAGGUAAUAUAUUAAAUAAAUAAUAGAUACUAAUAUGUAAAAUUACUGAAUUACCCUUAUUUUGAACUGAAUAGACAAAAGUACCCUUACUUUUUAACAACAAAAAUGAACAGAGUUAAGGCCGGGGAGUAUAGAGAAUCAAUAGAAACAUCAAGGAGUAAAAUGAUUAUUUUUAAAUGAUUGGUACAAAAUUAUUAAAACGACCAAAUCACAUGGAAUAAAACGAAAGUUUAGUGAAAUGAAAAUAAUCAUUGUCUAUUUUGAUUACUUUCCUAAAUCCUAAUAAGUAAACAGGCCUAGGGAGAACUGAGAAGCCAGGAGCAUAAAGCAAUUCAACAGUGUUACAAGCCACGCAUGGAUUGGAAAGCCACACACCAAGAUCAUUAUGGAACCAAAAUACACAUAAGGUGUGUGGUGUGAGACAUAAGACAUAUAUAUGGAUGUGAACGUGAUUAACAAGAUUGUUAAAUCAAAACCCUAAUUCAGACUACACACAACUGUAUCAAGAAAAGUAAGUUUACACAUGUAUUUUGUUACAUGAGCACCAAGAGACUAUUGGGGUGUGGUCAUUUGUGUUUAAUAUUGUGGAAUAUAAAAUAUAUAUAGAGUUGUAAAUUACAUUAGAGGAUUGUAAAUCAAUGAGCUAGGAUUUGAUCAGUUCUAU